RNAcentral lists this unclassified non-coding RNA (1851 nucleotides) under Hevea brasiliensis (rubber tree). Lineage: Eukaryota; Viridiplantae; Streptophyta; Magnoliopsida; Malpighiales; Euphorbiaceae. The record is from RNAcentral.
UAUAUUAACAGCCAGAUAGCCUGCAAAAUAUUCAUUCAAGGAAUCAAGGUUUUCAUUAUAUGCGAAUAAUAUAGACAACAUUUGAAGAAUAUUGUCAAGCAGAAGGGCAAAAUAUCAAUGUUAUUUCUUCCAAGUAGACAACAUUGCCGGAAUAUGCUAGGGGCAAGUAUAAACCAUCCAUCACUUGCUACCUAUGCAAUAUCAGAAGAGAAUGCAGGUAUCUGAACAAAGGUUUGUAAAGCAGAUGUACUUAGAACUACAUCUUCAGAUUGGACAUUAUCAGUAAGUCAUAAGAGGUGACCCACUGCAAUGGACAUCGGUUGAUUCUGCAAGCCUUUGCCUUGGUGACAAUGCUGUGAUGCCCGUAGAAUCAACAUCAAAGUUCACAAUAUUUUUUCGCUUCUGAGAAUCUGAAUUCAUCUUUUCCUCUGAUGAAGCCUCAAAAAUGGGACUUAAUCCUUCUUUCUGCUGAAGGGAUACCAUGGCUUGAGCUUCUGCAACUACAGAUGGGUCAUCAUCUACAGCGUACAAGAUUCUUUUUAUUGCUGCAACAACAGUUGAGUUUUCAAUCUCAGGACUCUGGCACAGAAUCUCGAUAUCUCUCAGCUUCGCAAAGUAGAAGUCCCUCUCCUUCUCAAGACUGUCCACUGACAGCUUCAAUUCUGUGAUCUGUUCAUCAUAUGCAGGCACUGGAUUAGGAGGUGGUUUUGAGGCCUUCACAGAUUGAUUUGUAGAGUUCACAGAGGACACAUCAUUCCUUCGAGCAUUGUGGGAGGACUGUGCUUUAGGGGCAGCAGUUGAAGUCUUGGCUGAAGGUUGAGAUGCCACACAUUUCUUACUUGCUUCUUUUCCUCCCUUGCAUGCCUCUCUUCUUUCCAAUGGAUUGUAACUAACCAUGAAAGUAAGCAAGUAAAUCCAACCAGUCAUUUUGACUAUGCUAGUAUAACUGAAGUAGGCAACUUAUUUGGCAAGCUAUUAUUCUAUUUGUCAGGAUAACCCUUGCAAAUACAAGAUAAGAAAUGAAGUCAAUAUAUAAUCUGUAUACCGCACUCUGCAGCUUUCAGCAGCAAACAGGAAAAAACUUAAUGGCAUUUAUAUAACUUCUUAGCAAUUAUGCAUAGACUCAUAUUUUCUCAGCAAUUAUGCGUGUCCUCAUAUGAAUCUACUAACAAGACAAAAGAACGGAAAAAUCUUCUAGGUAUAUCAAAAAUAAGGUGUAAGAUUGAAAAUUAUACAGUGAGAAAGCUAUGCGGAUCACAAAAAUUGAAAAGUACAAAAACAAUUAGGGUGAAAAGAAAAUACAUACAAGUUAAGAUAAAAGACAAAGAAAAGAAAAGAAAUUGCCAGCAGCGUUGGUAAAUGUUGGCUUCUUGUUUUGUUCCCAAUUUAACUAUAAAACGUGGAUUAGAGAUGCCAAGCCACAAUUCAGCAUUUUAAAAUUCCUAGUAUCAAAAACUGCAAACAGAGCUUCCAAUUGAUUAAUCAAUAAAUCAACAGCACAUAACAAAAAUUACACAAUUUGAAAAAGACUUCGCUUUGAUUUAACAGAGAACAAGAAACUACAACAGAAACACGAGGUCCUACGAGGAAUGUUAUAUUCAAAAUAUUGCCAUUUAGUGAUGAACUUAACUGAACAAUAGAUCUUACCCUGUAGUUUGUAUCGCACUUCAGCCAACGAUAAUAAACCAAAAAAAGCUAAAUAAAAUUACAAAUUACAAUUAUUAAAAUUAAAGAGAGUGAAAAUUACUUGAGAGCGCCUCCAUUAACAGAAUCGCAAUAAUGCUUCAUCCACUGCAUGAACUCCAAAUUAUCAAGCGGUCUUCCUUUUAUAAGCUUAUUCACUUCCAUGUG